UACAGAGGGUGCGAGCGUUGUCCGGAAUCACUGGGCGUAAAGGGCGCGUAGGUGGCGGCCCAAGUCCAUGGUGAAAGCUCGCCGCUCAACGGCGAGUCGGCCAUGGAUACUGGGUUGCUCGAGCACUGUAGGGCAGGAUGGGAAUUCCGGGUGUAGCGGUGGAAUGCGUAGAGAUCCGGAAGAACACCAGUGGCGAAGGCGGUCUGCUGGGCAGUAGCUGACACUGAUGCGCGACAGCGUGGGGAGCAAACAGG
Molecule: ribosomal RNA, 254 nt
Filed under: uncultured bacterium
Lineage: Bacteria
Description: partial 16S ribosomal RNA
Rfam family: Bacterial small subunit ribosomal RNA
Source: RNAcentral